This is a long non-coding RNA of Brassica rapa (field mustard), 579 nucleotides long. RefSeq lists it as uncharacterized. The record is from RefSeq and is a predicted model, not a curated record. Lineage: Eukaryota; Viridiplantae; Streptophyta; Magnoliopsida; Brassicales; Brassicaceae.
CUCAUAUCUUUAAAUACUAUUUUCUUCUUUGGCAUUUGUCAUCUACCAUGUGUUCUACUCUCUCUUAUUUGCUCCUCUGUGUUCUAUAUAAAUGGGUCACAUGAGUCACACUGAUGAGUAAACUAAAACGAAAUACUAUAAGAUGAUGACAUCUUCCAUAGUCUCCUGCACGUUUUUCUUUUUCCUUCUUCUGAUUGUGUUUCCGCAUAUGGAUAGAGCCCUUGGCGAACAAACGGAGCUCCACAAACUCAGCAGAGAGACGAACUAUCCUGACAAAGUGACAGUCCAAAGCCAACGCCGCUAUUUUAUCGGUCCUCCGUCAAUUCCGUGCCAACUGUACCAGCGGUGCAAGCGUACUCCACCCACUCCAACCCCUCCGUGCCACAUCUACAACCGAUGCAAGGGUUCUCCAGGCAAAUACGGAUCUGGUCACUGAUCUUACUAUAGAAUCAAAUGCGUUAUAUACAUAUCGACGUUUCUACGAUAUAGUUUGCUUUCCAGUUUCUGUGGUUCAUCGUCUUGUGUUGUCAUGUUUUUUUAUAGAUUUAUCAAUUACACAUAUCAGUAAGUUCACACAAU